GUCUUAGUAGUGGCAGUAUCAUAGCCAAUGAAGUUAAUCUGAGGUGUGAUUAUUGCUAGUUGAAAACUUUUCUUUCCCUCCCAGAACAAACACUGAGGUAUUCUGAUUGCACUCCUUUUAUUGGG
Molecule: small nuclear RNA, 125 nt
Filed under: Gopherus agassizii (Agassiz's desert tortoise)
Lineage: Eukaryota; Metazoa; Chordata; Testudines; Testudinidae
Description: U4 spliceosomal RNA (ENSGAGG00000014417.1)
Rfam family: U4 spliceosomal RNA
About the family: U4 small nuclear RNA (U4 snRNA) is a component of the major U2-dependent spliceosome. The structure of U4 snRNA from yeast and human has been reported.
Source: RNAcentral